This is a long non-coding RNA of Amphiprion ocellaris (clown anemonefish), 1483 nucleotides long. RefSeq lists it as uncharacterized. The transcript is spliced from 3 exons. The record is from RefSeq and is a predicted model, not a curated record. NCBI's taxonomy places the organism in Eukaryota, Metazoa, Chordata, Actinopteri, Pomacentridae.
UCCUCCCCCUCCUCUUCCCCCUCACGUCUCUCUUCCUCCUCCACCUCCUCCUCCUCCUUAUCCCUCUCCUCCCCCUCCUCUUCUCCCUCACGCUCUUCUUUUUCUCCCAUUCCUCCCCCUCUCUCUCCAGUCUCCUCCAGCUCCCUUGUUCUCCUCCCCCCAGAUCCUCCUCCACUGCCACUGACCAAGCACUGGAGUUGCAGGAUUUCGGAGGAUGAGAACUAAAUCUUCCUUCGGAGGCUGCCUCCACUCUCCUUCCCCUCCAACUUUUUCUGGUCAGCGACCUCCUGACAAACAUGCAGGAGGACCCCUCUAACUAUGUUUUACUAACCAAUGUGUGAGUUUCUCUCCCCAGAAGCCUCCUGCCCUACCUAAGAGGGCUGCUGGACCUCCUGCUGGCCAGUCUCCAUUUAAGAAGGUUCGCAAAUCUUCCAUUUCAUUAAAUUUACCUAGUUUUAUUUUCAACAUUUUAGCUACAUGUGAUUUUCUGGAUGUGAUCUGAUCAGAUUUUAUUUGAAUCAGUCUGUUGUGAUUAUGUCUGAUCAGAUCUAUUCCAACUUUAUUUGAAUGGAUUUUCUUGGAUUGUAUUUUGUGUGAUUCUAUCGGAGCUCGGUUCUUGUCGGUGGAACUCUGGUCAGGGUUUCCUGUUAGAGGUGUGGGUGGAUCUGGGAGGGAUCGUGGGAUACCUCCAGUGGUCCCCCCCUUACAGUGAAGCUCCACUCUGUCAGAAGGUGAACAGGAUGCAGACGGCAUGUUACACAGGAGUAACAUGUAUGUCUGUAUCCCACCCUGGACCCACAGUGGAGUCCACAGUGACAAGAUCACAGUUCAGGAGAGUCACACUGGGAUUUAAAAGGGGGGUCAAAUGUCUUAUUUAAGAUAAUAAAUGUAGUGUGAGGGUGAAGGUCUCGCUGCCAGAGGGAAGUUUCCAGAAAAAAAGGUACGUACGGAUCCCUGUGAAUGCUGCUGUAUGAAAAGGUGAGUUUGGGAUUUUGAUUUUGCAUUCGUAUAUCUAAUAUUUUGAAAUCUCAACAAUAGUAACACUUGGAGAAGAUUCUGCUGCGUUUUUCUUUUUGAUUUCUUUCAGACUGAUGACCCCGGGACCCAAGACCAAGACAAGGAUGAACCCAAAAGACGACUUAAAGACGAGUGACCGAGCCCCAACAGAGAUGAAGCCAGAGAUGACGACCAGCCUGUGAGGAGAAAAAAGAACAACUUUACUGAGACUUUACUGGAUGCACUGGUGCUUCAAUGACACCAAGCAGAUUCAGACAGGAUGGAACAGAGAUGAUGGGAGGCAGAUCCAGGACCAGUGCAUGACCAUCGCAAGACCAUUCAGUUAACACAAGAGCUCUCUCUCCAAGAUCCUCAAUCUAAUGAAAGAUCAGAUAAACAAACCAGACAAGGAACAGCCCAGAAGGAAGUCGGAGCACCCAGAGGAAACCCACACAGUCGCAGAGAGAACAUGAACAGAAAGAACCAG